CAAGCCAUGCUGAUCCGCAGGGUAAGUUACUGGGAGUUUGCAAGACGGUGAGUGGAAAAGGGCUUUCUUACUGGAAAGCUGCCUUCCCCUGCCCCCUGCCCCAGUGAAAGUUUGUUAGAAUUGACUCUGGACAAACAUCCCAUCCCAUCCUCCUUUGGAUCCUCAGGGUCGGGAAGGGGUAUCAGGUCUAGGGACCUCCAUGGAGAGACCUCAAGUAGCCUCUCCUAUUGCUCUGAGCUGACCACACUCCCCCAUUCUGGCCUCAGGAGACAAGAUCCCUGGCUCUGCCGUGCUAAUCUUCAACGUCCAUGUCAUUGACUUCCACAACCCUGCGGAUGUGGUGGAAAUCAGGACACUGUCCCGGCCAUCUGAGACCUGCAAUGAGACCACCAAGCUUGGGGACUUUGUUCGAUACCAUUACAACUGUUCUUUGCUGGACGGCACCCAGCUGUUCACCUCGCAUGACUACGGGGCCCCCCAGGAGGCGACUCUCGGGGCCAACAAGGUGAUCGAAGGCCUGGACACGGGCCUGCAGGGCAUGUGUGUGGGAGAGAGGCGGCAGCUCAUCGUGCCCCCGCACCUGGCCCACGGGGAGAGUGGAGCCCGGGGAGUCCCAGGCAGUGCUGUGCUGCUGUUUGAGGUGGAGCUGGUGUCCCGGGAGGAUGGGCUGCCCACAGGCUACCUGUUUGUGUGGCACGAGGACCCUCCUGCCAACCUGUUUGAAGACAUGGACCUCAACAAGGAUGGCGAGGUCCCUCCGGAGGAGUUCUCCACCUUCAUCAAGGCUCAAGUGAGUGAGGGCAAAGGACGCCUCAUGCCUGGGCAGGACCCUGAGAA
RNAcentral lists this small RNA (837 nucleotides) under Pan troglodytes (chimpanzee). RNAcentral describes it as "retained intron". Lineage: Eukaryota; Metazoa; Chordata; Mammalia; Primates; Hominidae. The record is from RNAcentral.